CCGUCACAACGGCUUCCUGACGUGGCGGAGCAACAUAUUUGGAGCA
Molecule: non-coding RNA, 46 nt
Filed under: Litoreibacter albidus
Lineage: Bacteria; Pseudomonadati; Pseudomonadota; Alphaproteobacteria; Rhodobacterales; Roseobacteraceae
Description: SAM-SAH-Weickhmann-2018 RNA
Rfam family: SAM/SAH riboswitch aptamer
Source: RNAcentral